Molecule: non-coding RNA, 1922 nt
Organism: Rattus norvegicus (Norway rat)
Lineage: Eukaryota; Metazoa; Chordata; Mammalia; Rodentia; Muridae
Source: RefSeq, a predicted model, not a curated record
AGUGGUUCCUGCUCCAGGUGUCCUAAGAGGAAAGCUCUCUGUGACACAGCUCUCUGUGCACAUACUUGGAGGACCUGAGGCACUUCCCCUAGGAAUGAGCACCUCCUAGGAAUAUGCACCUCUGCUGCCGUCCUUCUGUCUGGGUGCUGUUAUCCUUCCCUCCCUUGAGUGUGCGUUCCCGUACUUGGACUCCUGGUAUCAGGAGGUUGCACUUUAUCUAGCCAGGGAUGUUUGGAGAAACUAGCUCUGCCUUAACCUGGAAUCUGGGUGUUCGCGUUUAUUCACUGAUUCUUUUAGCACAUUGGAGUCUCACGCUGUGACGAACACUUUUUUGUGUGUGUGCAAUGAAAAGCAGACAUAUCAGGCUUCGGUUUUAGACUCUCACUAAGGAAAACAAAGUUCUUACUGUUAAGCUAUCCUUGUGUCAUUUAAAAGAUGUAGAAAAUGGAAGUUGUUGCUGCUAACAAAACUAAAGAGGCCCUUUCUGAUUCUGGAGGAGGUGGCUUCUGGUGGAAGUCCCAGUGGCCUCUGAUGCCCUGACAGUCACCAGAAUUCCAAGUCUUCUCAGCUAUGAGAUGCUUUAUUAUCCUGCAUCUGGCUUCCAGGAAUUCACUGGAUACCACUUCCCCACUGACGACUACAAAAUAGCCUGCUUAUAGAAAGACUGACAUAUUGAAAUAUAAUUAAGUAAAGAAAAAGAUCCUCAUCUGAAAUGUCUACAAGGUGUAUGAUGGUUAGACUCCUUAAGUUAUUGAAUAUCUGUAACCACCAUGGAUAUACCACCUUAUGGUAAUAAUUCUCUACUUACAGGUAAUAGACUGAAAGUCAAUAAAGUUAGGUCAUUUGCAUAAGGUGAAACAGGAAAAUCCAAACCCCGGCCUGUGAGAUGUCCCAGAGGGUUAAAGUGCUUACUGCCAAACUUGAUGACCUAGGUUUGAUUUCCAGUACCUGGAUGGUGGAAAGUGAAAACCGGCUCCCAUAAACUGUGCUCUAAUUAUACACAUGCCUCAUGCACAUAUGUGUAUUCACCAGUACACAUGUGCAUGUUUGAUUUAAAAAUUUAAGGGAGGACUAAGGCGAUGGCUCCAUGGUACAGAGUUCUUACUGCUCUCACAGAGAGCGACUGUGUUCCCAGCACAAAGGUUGCCUGUGGCAACUGGAUGAAGUUCCAGUUCUAAAGGUUUUGUCACCCUCUUCUGGUCUCCACAGAUACUGCUUUGUGUGAUACUAAAUAUACUUGCAGGGAAAACACACUUAAGCAUAAACUAGAAGUUAAUCUCAUUCUUUCACCAAGCUGAUUUUUAAGACGCAUGUCUUUCUGUCCUUCAGAAUUGAUAACAUGUUUAAAUUGCAUGCUGGUAAUAUGGAGAGUUCUCUAAACCUUGGGAUGUUGUGCAUAUCCCCCCACCCACCACAGAACAGUUAUGUAGUCACAAUGUAUCCAUGAAAGAGAUCAAACAUUACUUCUGACUUUAGCAUAUCUUGGAAACCUAUUAUUUGGCACAGUUCCAAGUUCAAUAUUAGUCCAUAGUGUAAUAGUUGUGUUCCGUAGUUAUUCUAAAGCUAGUGCCCAUUAGGUAUUUAUGAUGGGGGUGGGAGUGAAACCUUUGACAUAUGAGCUAUUAUAUAACAGUGGCAAAAGUUUUAUGAAUGUGCAACUGUAGUAGGUAUGCUCACAAUUUUUUUGAACAUAACAACAUAAAACAGCCCUGCAUUUAGGUACAAUUUUUAUUUUUAAAACUAGGCCUUAUGGAUGUGUCUUUAAAGUACUGUAUACUUUAAAAUCACCUGAACCAUUAGAAGCGACUUAAGAAAACCUAUUUGUGGAAUGUUCUUUGCUACUCUGAGAAGACCAAAGAUUUUGUGUGUGUGUGUUCUCUCAUGUCUAAAUAAAGUCAAUGCCACCAUGUGGCCAGCUCGAA